This 352-nucleotide ribosomal RNA is filed under the name Halobacillus faecis. Its description in RNAcentral is "bacterial SSU rRNA". It matches the Rfam family "Bacterial small subunit ribosomal RNA", at positions 1159 to 1507 of the family's 1533-position model. Lineage: Bacteria; Bacillati; Bacillota; Bacilli; Caryophanales; Bacillaceae. The record is from RNAcentral.
UUAACUGGAGGAAGGUGGGGAUGACGUCAAAUCAUCAUGCCCCUUAUGACCUGGGCUACACACGUGCUACAAUGGAUGGUACAAAGGGCAGCGAAGCCGCGAGGUGUAGCAAAUCCCAUAAAACCAUUCUCAGUUCGGAUUGCAGGCUGCAACUCGCCUGCAUGAAGCCGGAAUCGCUAGUAAUCGCGGAUCAGCAUGCCGCGGUGAAUACGUUCCCGGGCCUUGUACACACCGCCCGUCACACCACGAGAGUUGGCAACACCCGAAGUCGGUGAGGUAACCUUUUUGGAGCCAGCCGCCGAAGGUGGGGCCAAUGAUUGGGGUGAAGUCGUAAACCAAGGUUGCCCGUUGG